CCGGCAAACGGGUGCGGAACACGUACGCAACCUUCCUUUAACUGGAGAAUAGCCCCUCGAAAGAGGGAUUAAUACUCCGUAACAUGAUGACCCCGCAUGGGGUUAUUAUUAAAGCUCCGGCGGUUAGAGAUGGGCGUGCGCCUGAUUAGGUAGUUGGCGGGGUAACGGCCCACCAAGCCUGCGAUCAGUAACUGGUGUGAGAGCACGACCAGUCACACGGGCACUGAGACACGGGCCCG
RNAcentral lists this ribosomal RNA (239 nucleotides) under uncultured bacterium. RNAcentral describes it as "partial 16S ribosomal RNA". It matches the Rfam family "Bacterial small subunit ribosomal RNA", at positions 95 to 334 of the family's 1533-position model. The record is from RNAcentral.